GACCAGACUCCUACGGGAGGCAGCAGUGAGGAAUAUUGGUCAAUGGACGAGAGUCUGAACCAGCCAAGUAGCGUGAAGGAUGACUGCCCUAUGGGUUGUAAACUUCUUUUAUAUGGGAAUAAAACAGGGUAUGCAUACCCUCUUGUAUGUGCCAUAUGAAUAAGGAUCGGCUAACUCCGUGCCAGCAGCCGCGGUAAUACGGAGGAUCCGAGCGUUAUCCGGAUUUAUUGGGUUUAAAGGGUGCGUAGGCGGGCUGUUAAGUCAGCGGUCAAAUGUCGGGGCUCACCCCCGGCCUGCCGUUGAAACUGGCGGCCUCGAGUGGGCGAGAAGUAUGCGGAAUGCGUGGUGUAGCGGUGAAAUGCUUAGAUAUCACGAAGAACUCCGAUUGCGAAGGCAGCCUACUAAACUGCCACUGACAUUGAUGCUCGAAAGUGUGGGUAUCAAACAGGAUUAGAUACCCCAGUA
Molecule: ribosomal RNA, 465 nt
Filed under: uncultured bacterium
Lineage: Bacteria
Description: bacterial SSU rRNA
Rfam family: Bacterial small subunit ribosomal RNA
Source: RNAcentral